UUCUCAUCUUCCUGCUCAUUGGAGCUGAAACAGUCCAGGUCACAUGACCUCAGUCUGAACUGUUUUCCAGUCAACAGAACCGUCAGUUCUGGUGAACCAUCUCCUCCUUCAGAGUUCUGGAGUCUCCGGGUUCGACCCGAAGAAAGAACAGAACCAGAACCCAGACCCUUAGUCGAGUUCUUGAAAUAUAACCAGAACUUGUCAGGUUUUAAUGAGGCGAUUCCCUCUCAUUAUUUGGCGUUUGUUCUCCUCUGUGGAUCUCUUUUGGGUCAUUUUCUUCUUCCUCCCCCUCUAGUCAGCCAGCGCAGGCUCUUCCUCCUCCUCUUCAUCAUUUGUCGGCAGCAUGUCUGAGCGCCGGUUCUGUCAGGAGGACGACCGCUCCUCUCUCCUGUCCCGGCUCGGUUCAGAUUCUCCUCGUCCUCGGAUGAAGUUCGGAGGAAUGUUCUGCAACGUGGAAGGAGCUUUCGAGAACAAAACUCUGAACUUCGAGUCCUUCAGUCCUCGGCUGCAGCGGCGCGGCGCCGGUCCGACCCAAACGGGAGGCCAACAUGGAGUAUGGACCGCAGUCCUUCCAUCUGGACACACCCGGGAAAACUACGGCAAGAAAGAGGGAGACUGUCUCCUCAUCAAAGGAGGAAAGGUUGUCAAUGACGAUCAGUCGUUCUAUGCCGACGUCUACAUUGAGGACGGGACUAUCAGGCAGAUAGGUGAGAACCUGAUCAUCCCAUCUGGUGUGAAGACGCUGGAUGCGUACGGACAGCUGGUGAUCCCUGGAGGCGUAGAUGCCAACACCAACCUCCAGGCUCCACAGAAAGGCCUGAUCCCGUGUGACGACUUCUACCAGGGAACCAAAGCCGCCCUGUCUGGAGGAACCACCACCAUCAUCGACCAUGUGUUGGUGGAGCCGGGGACUAGCUUGCUGUCAGCGUUUGAUCUGUGGAAGGAGACGGCAGAGCAGAGGGCGUGCUGUGACUUUUCCUUCCAUCUGGAUGUCACCAGGUGGCACGACGGCCUCUACGAGGAGCUGGAGACGCUCGUCAAAGAUAAAGGGGUGAAUUCCUUCCUCUUCUUUAUGGCUUACAAAGACCGGUACCAGAGCUCCGACUCUCAGCUUUAUGAGGCGUUUGGGAUCCUCCGGGAUCUUGGAGCAAUUGCUCAGGUCCAUGCUGAGAACGGUGACAUCAUCGAUGAGGAGCAGAAAAAACUUCUCAGUGUGGGUAUUACUGGACCUGAAGGCCAUGUUUUAUCUCACCCUGAAGAGGUGGAGACUGAGGCAGUCUAUCGGGCCAUCACCAUCGCCAAGCAGGCCAACUGCCCGCUCUAUGUUACCAAGGUGAUGAGCAAGUCUGCUGGUGAUGUUAUCGCCAAAGCCAGGAAAAAAGGUGUGGUUGUGUAUGGGGAGCCAAUCACAGCUGGCCUGGCCACUGACGGCUCUCACUACUGGGCCAAAGAUUGGACCACAGCGGCUGCCUUUGUGAUGAGCCCUCCCCUGAACCCGGAUCCGUCCACGCCACAGUAUCUGACCUCUCUGCUAGCAUGCGGCGAUCUCCAGGUGACCUCCAGCGCUCAGGCCAGCUUCUCCACAGCUCAGAAGGCUGUCGGUAAAGACGACUUCACGCUGAUCCCAGAGGGAACUAGCGGCAUUGAAGAGAGGCUGUCUGUGAUCUGGGACAGAGCUGUGUCCACAGGAAAGAUGGACGAGAAUGAGUUUGUUGCAGUGACGAGCACCAACGCUGCCAAGGUCUUCAACAUGUACCCACGCAAAGGAAGGAUUACUGUUGGAUCUGAUGCUGAUAUUGUAAUUUGGAACCCAAAAGAGACUCUAACCGUUUCUGCCACAACUCACAACCUGACAUUGGAGGUAAACAUCUUGGAGGGUUUGGAGUUUCGAGGCGUUCCCACAGUAGUGAUCAGCGSCGGUCGGGUUGUUCUGGAGGAGGGACAGCUCAACGUGRCCGAAGGUUCUGGACGCUUUAUAGCAAGAAAGGCUUUUCCUGACACCGUCUACAAGCGGAUCAGAGCACGCAGCAAGAUGGCUGAGGCCCGUGGCGUUCCCCGCGGUAACUAUGAUGGUCCAGUCCAUGAUGUCAUCAGUGUGACCAAGUCAGUCCCACCAACUCCAACCACCAGGGGUCCUACGGGGACCAAAACCCCAACAGGCCCCCGAAACCUCCACCAAUCAGGAUUCACCCUGGCAGGGGCUCAGAUUGACGAUCACAUACCCCGUCGCUCUGCUCAAAGGAUUGUGGCGCCACCUGGAGGACGUUCCAACAUUACAUCUCUAUCUUAAUCUGUUCAUUUUCCAGCCAAGUGUUGAAGAACGUCUGUUAGUCUAUGAUCCAGCUAAGUCCACUGUGGACCCCCUGCUGUAGGGUGUUCAGUGAACACCUGUAGGGUUCAGUGGACUCUACAAGUGAAACUGUCUGACCCUGAUAGCCCACAUAUGUAGUUUAACUCCAGAACUCCCCAGAACCUUCUGGGUCUCCUGAGCUCAAACUGACAACUUUAGUCCUGAAUGUAGCUGUCCCACCCAGAACCUCACCAUAGUGCUUAGUCAACCCCAUGUUACCUGGUACUAGACAGAACCGGUUCUGACCCGACAGUUCUGAAACCCUCCACAUCAGCAGCGACAUAACCGGCCUGACCAGAAAGAUGUCUUUAUCUAACUUAGUGACAUCACAGUGAUGUGAGUAAUGCUGACAUAAAACACCAAUCAAGCAGAACAUUAUGACCACAUUGGCCUCUCAAAGUACUUCCAGCCAUCUGUGAGAUGAAUGAUGCCAGCCAGCCCGCCUGUGGUUGACCCCUGACCCACCAGAGAGGUGGUCACAGCAUUGCAUCAGCUGACUUGAAGGGGGAGGCUGGCCUCCCAGGUCAAAGCUAGCCUCGUGGUCGGAACCAGGCUCGGUUCUGCUGCCAUUCUAAUCAGUCUGGACCUCAGUUCAACUUCACUGUCCAAACACAAGCCUGYUUAACCCCAAGUCAGAGUUCUAGAUGGAGGGUAUUUUGGGUUCUGUGGCAGUACCACCCCACAGGUAGGACCCUAAGACCAUCUUCUGGUCAUGUGACCAACAGCUCAUGGUUUCAGUGUAACCAGAUGAGCCUUUGUAGCAUUAAUUGGAUAACUUUAGAUGAUUGCAGAACCACAGUCCAUCUKCAGAUGUUUUGGCUGUUUGGGUCAUGUAGCAACUUCAGAAUCUGGUUCUGUAGACCAGAGUUGUUUUCUCUGACUGUUGAUACUGCUAGCACAGCUCUAGCUGAUCAUUAGCAUCCACGCUGAAGGCCUGGAAUCAAAUACUGAGGGCUUUUAAUUUGAAAGGGAAAAGAGGGAAAAAGGUCACAGAGUUGUUGACAUCAUGUGACUCUGCAGCAUGUGAUGUCACAUUCACAUUUUUAAUGUAGCGUUUUCUAAGACUUUGUCUUAAUUUUGUAUUUUUACUGUUUUUUGUACCUUUGCUGUGAUUGGUUCAAUGUUUGGGUCAAGGGUUACAGUUGUCUUCUGAAUUUGAUCCGUAUUUGAUCUCAACGUCUGGAUCCACUUUUACGAGACCCACCAACCCAGACCCGACCCAGUCCAUGUUGUACUCAGYUUUAUGCUAACUGUUUUAGCCUAAAACUGAGUACAACCUGUUUUAUGCUAACUGAAAUCAUCAGUCUGUAAAACAACCAUUGACUAGACAUUAAGGUGGGCGGAGCCACCAGCUUCACCUUGCUGUUCAAAUGCCCAACCUGAUCAAUGGCACCUCAAUGACCACACCCUCCUAUUUUCACUCAAUAGGUAGCAUCAGUGUUGGCAUCACUGCUCCCAUGUUGGACUCCAGCUGUUACUAUGGCUGUGUUUCCAACGCCUCACACUCCCCCUGUCCUGCAUGUUUAAGUCAGGGGUGUCAAACUCCAGUCCUGAAGGGSCGCUGUCCUGCAGUUUUUAGAU
Non-coding RNA from Poecilia reticulata (guppy), 3931 nucleotides. The record is from RefSeq and is a predicted model, not a curated record. Lineage: Eukaryota; Metazoa; Chordata; Actinopteri; Cyprinodontiformes; Poeciliidae.